UGGGAAAGCUGGAUUAAGAUUUAUGAGCCUCUCAAAGCUCUGUUCCAUGGUUCUACCUCUCACCUGCUAAGACCUGACGCAUUGUUUUGAAAGGACUCGAUUUUGCAGCAUGGAAUCAACUGUGCUGUGCGGUGGCACAAAUGUUAUUUGCCUCUUCUUCAGCCAGCAGGAAAUCCCUGGAGAGGGUGCUUGUUCUCCAUGUCUCAUCGACUCUGGUAAACUUUCUCACUUCACAAAGAGAACAUAAGCUUCGUCUAAACUGACUAUCACGAGAGGAAGAAAAUAAUAAUUUUUACAUAGCAAGAACACAAGAUUUCAAGGUAAUUUCUACAUUAGUGAAUAUGUAUUGUCAGUUAGACUUGCUGUAAACAUUUCUGAAAUGAAUUCA
Molecule: long non-coding RNA, 388 nt
Filed under: Vulpes vulpes (red fox)
Lineage: Eukaryota; Metazoa; Chordata; Mammalia; Carnivora; Canidae
Description: lncRNA (ENSVVUG00000005948.1)
Source: RNAcentral